GGUAUGGGUGUGUCCCAAUCCUAUGUUUUAAAAAAAAUUGUAAAAAAUCUCCAUGUUCCACCAAUUUUUUCCAAAAAAUAUUUUUAUUCUGUGUUUGUGAGUUAUUGUGAGAAAGUUUUAUUUUGACCAUUUGUGAGCUUGGCCUUAUUUAUAUAUACCUCAGUAUUUAUCAUCAACUUUAUUGUCAGCCCUAGGUAAAUUGUUUAGACAAAACUGUUGUUAUAUUUUCUUUGAAUCUCUUUUAUAAAUUUUGUUAGCUUGUUCUAGCUAUAAACUUUAAGACUUACAAUUUUUUCCAAAAUUAUACGAUUGAUUGGGUUUUUUUUCUUCGAUUGAUGCAAUUUAAGAUAGAAUUAUUUCCCUUUGGUUACCAUGGUAGCCAUCUAUGUGGACUAAUGCCUUUGUUAAUUAACAAAAUUCAACUUGUUAUACUGAUUGCUGGACUUAUGAAAACAUUGUUGACUGGUGUUUUUAUUUCUUUAAAACUGCUUUAUUCAUCACUAGGAUCUAGUAAAUAUAUCCUAUUAGUCUUAUGUGUGGGAAUGCAAUUCUGUAAAACUUAAUCCCUAUGGUCCAUGUUAAUCAAACAGACCACUAUUAUAUUGUAUGAAUGUAUCAGAAGUGAUGGUUAGC
Molecule: long non-coding RNA, 633 nt
Filed under: Mytilus galloprovincialis (Mediterranean mussel)
Lineage: Eukaryota; Metazoa; Mollusca; Bivalvia; Mytilida; Mytilidae
Source: RNAcentral